UGGUUUUGCCCUGUGAGACGUAACUCUGGCCUCGAUGCCACUGUUGUGCCAAAAGUGGGCAGAAAGAAACUGGCUUGUGAUCGACCCUGCUGUCCUGCUCUGUGGACUAGGGGCUUGGAACGAGGCCGAAUAUUCAAACCCAGACCUAUUGAAAUGCAUUCUCCUGGACUGUCCUGCUUUUAAUGAUUGCACAAGACUACAUGAAAUGAACCCGCUUAAGGAGAUAUUCAGCAAAGUGUCGCCAGGAAAAAUGUUUCCAGCAUUUUUCAAAAUAUCUUGUGUUCACUGGAAGAAAAACACAACUAGACUUUGAACAGAAAGACGAAAAGUAAAUGAUGACGCAAUUUGAAGUUUUUGGUGAACUGUCCCUUUAAGCCAGUCCAACCCUGAACAGAUUGCCUGCACUGCAAGCUGGACUA
This 419-nucleotide long non-coding RNA is filed under the name Danio rerio (zebrafish). Its description in RNAcentral is "long non-coding RNA NONDRET013760". The stretch from base 5 to 134 matches the Rfam family "Small nucleolar RNA SNORA17". The record is from RNAcentral. Lineage: Eukaryota; Metazoa; Chordata; Actinopteri; Cypriniformes; Danionidae.